GACGAACGCUGGCGGCGUGCCUAAUACAUGCAAGUAGAACGCUGAAGCGAGGAGCUUGCUCUUCUUGGGUGAGUUGCGAACGGGUGAGUAACGCGUACGUCACCUGCCUUGUAUCGGGGGAUAACUACUGGAAACGAUAGCUAAUACCGCCUCACACUGGCUGACACAUGUCAUUUAUUUGAAUGGGGCAAUUGCUGCACUACAAGAUGGAUCUGCGUUGUAUUAGCUAGUAGGUGAGGUAAUGGCUCACCUAGGCGACGAUACAUAGUCGACCUGUGAGGGUGAGCUGAGACACAGGGAAUGAGACACGCGCCAGAGUCCUACAGGAGGCGGCAGAGGGGAAUCUUCGGCAAUGGGGGCGAACCUGACAGAGCGACACCGCGUGAGUGUAGAGAGUGUUCGGGUCGUGAAGCUCUGUUGUGAGGCGAGAGCGAGUGUGAGGGUGGAAAGUUCACUGUGUUACGGGAGCUUACCAGAUAAGGACGGCUAACUACGUG
Molecule: ribosomal RNA, 497 nt
Filed under: uncultured bacterium
Lineage: Bacteria
Description: partial 16S ribosomal RNA
Rfam family: Bacterial small subunit ribosomal RNA
Source: RNAcentral